AUGGCUUCAUCCGGUUCUAGGACGAGGUCGGCGUGCGCGGACCAAGAGGACAUGCCAAAGACGUGGAUGGAGGCCAGCUUGGACAAGGAGAAGGAGAAGGAUGUGCCCACACCACCAUGUUGGUGUGGUGAUGUUUGCAAGCUGAAGGUGUCCAUGGACCUCAAGAAGUCAUGGACAGAAGGUAGAAGGUUUUUCGUGUGUCCCAACUAUGCACAUGAUCGUCGAAGGCCAACUAACGCAUAUGACAUACCACUGGUAUGUUAG
RNAcentral lists this ribosomal RNA (264 nucleotides) under Triticum aestivum (bread wheat). Its description in RNAcentral is "partial small subunit ribosomal RNA". The record is from RNAcentral. Lineage: Eukaryota; Viridiplantae; Streptophyta; Magnoliopsida; Poales; Poaceae.